Long non-coding RNA from Empidonax traillii (willow flycatcher), 1499 nucleotides. RefSeq lists it as uncharacterized. The transcript is spliced from 3 exons. NCBI's taxonomy places the organism in Eukaryota, Metazoa, Chordata, Aves, Passeriformes, Tyrannidae. The record is from RefSeq and is a predicted model, not a curated record.
CCUCAGAGUAUUUGCUUUGCUGUGCCAUUUAGCUGUUUACAAAGCCCAGGGCUUUGCUUCUGAUACGCAGUCAGUAAAGGGCAACAGAGUAUUUUUAUUUUUAAUUGCAAUGUAAAUGUGUGUGUUGGCCUUGUAGGAGGCAAUGUGCUGACUCUCGUGAGGUUACCCUGAUCAAGGACAAAUUUGACCAGAAAAUGGUACUUUGAGAGAAUAUUGGCAGUCAAUAUUUUGGUUUAAUGCAGAAUUUUUGAAAAUCGGGGGAAGCAGCCAGGCUGUUGCUUGGGCCGUGUCCAAGUCAUUUCACUUACUGCUGAUCCUUCCCGUUUUUGCCUUCACAGCUCUACUCGUCCAGGCCCAGGCAAAGAAUUGCUUAAACAUCUACAGAAGUUCCUUGUUUUCUUCUUGAACUGGAUCCUGGAGUUGUGCUAAGCCUUGGCAUCCACAGGGACCUCAAGAUGGAAAGUGCGGUUUUCUGGGGAAAGGAGCUUGCUGGUGGAGCAAGUUCGAAAAGAUCUUAGCAGUUCCAGUAAUUACUCAUUUCAUCAACCCAUCUAUAUUUAAAGAGGGAAAAAAAAGAAAGCUCCUCCAGUGUUGUUUCCUGCAAAGACCAUUCUUAAGAGCUCGUUGGACAGCGCAGGACUCUUGAAGUGAUAGCUAAUUGGUGAAAGAAAGGCCCUGAUUGUCUUGAGGGAGCUGGAAAGUGCUGCGUGUGCUGCUGAAAGGGACUAGGGAGAAGGUGCCUGGUUUCGCCGAGCAGCUGCUGCUGGAGAUGUUUGGAGAUUACAUCAGCAUUGGAAAAAAGGGGCAAAAAAAAAAAAAAAAAAAAAAGAAGUCCAACUUCACAGAGAGGGAGUUUAUGGAGGUUUUUUUUUCCCCCCCCUCUCCCUCCUUCCAAAGGUCUUCUGACAAUACUGUCAUUGUCAAUAUAAGAGUUGUUAAUUCUUUAUGAAUAGCACAUGGGGCCUCUUGACUAAAUAGUACGUUACAUGUCCCAAAUCUGUCAGCUGGACUCUUCUCUCACAUGCUAGUGAGAUCACUUUGAUUGGAAUGUUAGAGGAAUCGCUGGGCUGGCCGUGCAGAACUGAAUACUGCAUUAUAUAAUUAGAUCUCCCAGAGUAUUUUGUUCACAUUACCUCAUUAUUCUAGCUUAAAUAUGGAAUCGGCCCUUUUGAUGAUUUUGCUGGUUGUAAUUAUAUUAAUACGAUUCAUUUUGUGGUCCUGUCUUAGUGCUUACAUAGAUCAUAAACUGUCCCGAAGGUUUCCUGACUCAAGGAAAGAGGACUGAGAGACUUCAAAAGGCUCCUUCAGGUUUGAAUUGACAGUGUGGGGGGGAGCUGCAUAAGGUAAAUGGAGCUGGAGCAGCUUUUACUUUGGGAUCUGAUGAGAGAGAAACGACGUGCCGAGACUGCAACCGAGUGAGGAUUCUUCAGAAAGCCACGUGCUGACAGAGGAGAAAGAGUGACAACUGAACCAGCCCAAUGACUUCCUCUCCAGCUUGG